Long non-coding RNA from Cuculus canorus (common cuckoo), 3069 nucleotides. RefSeq lists it as uncharacterized. NCBI's taxonomy places the organism in Eukaryota, Metazoa, Chordata, Aves, Cuculiformes, Cuculidae. The transcript is spliced from 5 exons. The record is from RefSeq and is a predicted model, not a curated record.
AUUCACCAUAACCAGUGAGAUGCAAAAUCCUGGAAGGGGAUCCCGAAGCCAAAGGUGGUUUUGAAGGCCCUCUGCAGUGUUUCUGAACACAGAAGUCUUUUUCCUUGCUGACCACCACUUGCCUGGACACUGUCCAAGGCUGAGAGACAGAUCUGGCAGCCACAGAGGAAUGAGUAGCACCUGUCCUGGCACCCAAACUGUUUCAGCCUCACAGGUCCUUGGCUGCGCUGUGCUACCGCCCAUACUUCAGCCAUUCUGUGUCGACCUACCACAGUCAUCCCACAAUGAAAAAGCCACCCUGCAUGCAUGGCACUGCCUCAAGGAGCAGCUGAGCCCACUGGGCUGGGCAUCCCUGCCACACUGAACCCGUUGUGUGAAUACAGACCAGCAGUCACUCCCAGUGUCCGGUGCCACAGUGUGCCUGGAGCCAGCUGCAUCCACGCUCAUGGAUAAGACAUUGUAAGAAGCAUUGGUGCGAAACUGCAGCAAGGGAUGAAAACCUCCCUGAAUGACUCAUGUGGCUGCAAAACAGUGAGGCAUAACAGCUGUGGAAGAAGAAGGAAAUGAAGGCAUCUCUGUACAGUGUUUGGCUUGUGCAGUAGAAGGGCUUCAUGGAACUCUUUGCUCACAAAAUAGUAGCAGAUGCUAUCCAGGCAACAGUUGGAUGUGGCAACACACCUCGUCACAGAGGAGAAGUUCCUAAUAACCUGGAUCAGGAAACAGGCAGCUCCGACCUUCUCCAUUAUGAAUCCGGCAAGCAACCCAAGAAGAACACCCAGAGGGCGAGGGCAUUAAGUAGCGCUCCAAAAAAGAAAAUGAGGAUAUACAGAGCAAAUUCAAUGAGACGAACAUUGCGAUAGAGUUCUAGAUUUGCGACACUGCAGUUGUUGGAUGCAUUCGUUGUCCUGAUGUGUAGAUGUUGUGUGAUGUUCUGAGACCUGAAAUGGGAAAAGACAUGGUAAGAUUUUCCUCCUACUUCUCAACAGCUCCUAUAAAAAAAAGGUAUUUAAGGAAAUAUUAACUUUGUUAUGAUGUAAAUUUGAGUCUACGAAGAUGGCCUUCUUGGUCAGCCUGUAGCUGAGAUGCAUCCUUUGUCAAACUUUGUUUAUAUUUACUCUGUCUCAGCGUAAAUACUUCAAGGUAGACUUUCAAUAGGACAUGGCAGACAGCCUUUAUUAAACAGGGGCAUCUUGAGUGAGAGGGGCAGUUAGAAGAGCUCCUGUUGGUAGCAGGAGCAUCCUGUCAUAACGUGAAUGCUAAUUCCUGAAGCCAGGCUGUGCAAAUGAGGUCAAGUCACCCUUAGUUUGGUUUUGAGCUAGACAGGGAUUGUAGCAAUCAAAGCUAAAACCCAGCACAACCCAUGAGCAAAAGCUCUUCUACCAGUUCUGCUGACUUGGGAGACGGAUAAGGGUGGUGGAGGACUGCAGGGGCAGAGCACAUGCCACUUGAUAGACAUCCUCAUGUUCUGGCUCUAACUGGGCAGAUUUCUGAGCUUUUGGCUGCUUUGAGAAUCUGGAGUUCCUGCUUCAAGCUGAGGAAAACUGACCUGAAUCUGAGUUCCUGCAUCCCAAAGGCAUGCUUGACAACCCUACAGGAGUGAGUGAGGAACUUCCCCUCUUCAGAAGGGGAAAGUGCGGGGAGGGUGGAAAGAUUAACCUGAUUUAACCCCAUCGAUUGCAUGAAAGGGUAUGAGCCUGCAGAUGUAAAGCAGGAAGACACACGUGAAAGAGGAAACACUGGUGCAAAACAAGGAAUGUGCCAUUAAGGACUGCAUUAGAUGGUUCCUGCUCAAGGCAAGUAUCCUGCCACCCUGGGAAAUCUGUGAGGUGUAAAUAGUAGGUACUGAGCCCCUGUCACACUGUCUUUCGCAAGAGUAUUAGUUAGAUAAAGAGUGUGAGUUUCUAGGCUGAUAAAAAUCAGCUUUCAUCAGACCCUAUCUUGUGUGACGUGCACAUGGACCAAUUCUCUGAACUGGUGAUUCUGUGUAUAUGACACUGCAUUUCUGCAUGCAUCCAAAAGCACCUUGGAAAGCGUUUAACCUUUUCAUUUCAAAUAAGCUAUUUACCACUUUAACAGGAUAGUGAAAUGGUGAUGGAGCUAGUGAAAUCCUACAGCUUUCAGAGAUGUAGCAAGGGAUAUCAUAACUGAAUACAUCUGGAUAAGCAGUUAUUUUCCUCUGCAAGCAAUGCAGGCCUCAUGGUCAGCUGGCGAGGGCACUGCCUGCAAAAUCAGACUUCAGUUCUGAAGUAAGUGAUAAACAUACAAAUAACUCAAUUGCUGGGGAGAUAUGCAAGUGUCUUAGGCACUAGUAGACAUCAGUGCAACUCCUGCACAGAGCUAUCUCACAGUUCUUGUGUGCUCAGGUCCAGGUUUCCCAGCAGCUUGCCAGUUGCUGCCUGCCAUGGGAGGAAGCUGACAUCUGUCACCUGGGGAAAACCUCUCUGAACUGCUGUUAUAGCAGCAUGGAUACACCUUACAGCAAGGGCUGAAGGUGCUGUAUCAUUGUGCUCACUAACUGCAUGGGACAGAUGUCUUUGCUGGCACAGCUGAUGCUCAGGUUGCUUUUUGCUGGCCCUGGUCUGCAAAACCAGCAGAGGCCUCUAUGCUGAAGUGCAGCACAAAGUACAGGCAAACCAUGCUCUGCAGUGUGAAAGGGCUGACACCGCCUUGGGACCCAAGGAUAUGGCCCAAUCACUGAUCCCAGCAUCUGCCUUGCCAUGGUCGAGCUCAGGACAUACAAGGGCUCCAGGCCACGAGGCAGCCCAGAGACUCGGGGGAGAAGGGAGGAAACGAGCAGAGGGUUUUAAACCAGACCACAUCGCAUAGAUAUAGGAUAACUGAACACGAACCAUCAUUAAAGAGAUGCCGUUUGAUAAGUUAGCAUAUCCUGUGGCUGCUGGAAAUGCUUAAUAUGGGGUAGAUGAGAUGAUUGCAGCAUCAGAGAUGGUAAUCAGCAACUUACAGCUUUAAGAAACGGAUGGAGAUGACUAAACAGCAUCUUGCUGCAGCUGGAGGAACAUGAACAGGCUGGAACUCAGUGGACAUGGUCACCAAUACUGUGGAGUGUGU